AGAUAUACAAUGUAAAACAUGAGAUACAUUAUAAGUUGGUUUACAAACGCCGCAGUAACUUCUUAACACGUUAACGUCCAGUAUCUGACCUAAAUUUAAAUAUAUAUUAGCCAGCGGGAGACACGCGAUUCAAUAAUCUAACAAACAUUUUAGCCUUAUAUAUAUACAUACACCCACGUAGUAUUUAUUGUUUAAAGUACGAAUUAACGUUCUGGGUGUUACAAUAAACAAUAUUUUACAGGCAAAAUGAUUGUGUGUCACGCUGUAGUAUUUUUUGUCAACAUUUGUCUACUAAAUUUACUUCAGACUAACGGACAAAGUCACGAACAUCCAAAAAUAGUUGGCGGUAAUUAUGCUGACGAAGGACAAUUUCCUUAUCAAGUGUCGCUGAGAAUUAAAAAUCGUCAUUUUUGUGGCGGCUCGAUAUUAAAUCAUAGAUGGAUCCUUACUGCUGCUCAUUGUUUGCGAAAUUUCAAUGACACGGCAAUUAAAGUUGUUACGGGUUCAACAAAAUUGGACGAAGGAGGAAAUUGGUAUCAAUCAGUACGCAUUAUACCGCACGAACGAUAUAGUUCAUUGUUUAUUAGAAAUGAUAUCGGGCUGAUUGAAGUUGACGAGGAUAUUGAAUUUUCUGACAACGUUAAGCCCGUUGAUCUUCCAACAAGUAACUUUGACAAGAGUGAUUAUCCGGCUUAUUUGUCUGGAUGGGGUAAAACUGAUUAUCCAGGAAGUAUUCCCAACGACUUACAAUACAUAAAGCUUACGGUAAUUGAUCAGAAACAGUGCCGCAACUUCAGUAUGCGGGUGACAAACAAGAACAUCUGUACAUUGAAUGGAAGAGGCGAGGGAGCAUGCCAUGUAAGAUUAAGAGUACUUGCUAGUUUAAUAUAUCUAUAGAGAGUUUCUCACUUGAGAGCUCUCCUGGAGUCUUGAUUUCUUCUAUUCAUAUAUAUAUAAAUAAACUCUUAAAAAGGUGACUCUGGUGGGCCACUGGUGUCUGAUGGAGUCCAGAUCGGCGUCGUAUCGUGGGGAAUACCUUGCGCGAAAAACAAACCCGACGUCUUCACCCGCGUCUACAGUUACCGCGACUGGAUAAAGGAAAACAUUGAGAG
Molecule: RNA transcript, 1112 nt
Organism: Microplitis mediator
Lineage: Eukaryota; Metazoa; Arthropoda; Insecta; Hymenoptera; Braconidae
Gene name: chymotrypsin-2-like
Exons: 5
Source: RefSeq, a predicted model, not a curated record